AUGGGCGAAAGCCUGACGCAGCCAUGCCGCGUGAAUGAUGAAGGUCUUAGGAUUGUAAAAUUCUUUCACCGGGGACGAUAAUGACGGUACCCGGAGAAGAAGCCCCGGCUAACUUCGUGCCAGCAGCCGCGGUAAUACGAAGGGGGCUAGCGUUGCUCGGAAUUACUGGGCGUAAAGGGAGCGUAGGCGGACUGUUAAGUUAGAGGUGAAAGCCCAGGGCUCAACCUUGGAAUUGCCUUUGAUACUGGCAGUCUUGAGUACGGAAGAGGUAUGUGGAACUCCGAGUGUAGAGGUGAAAUUCGUAGAUAUUCGGAAGAACACCAGUGGCGAAGGCGACAUACUGGUCCGUUACUGACGCUGAGGCUCGAAAGCGUGGGGAGCAAACAGGAUUAGAUACCCUGGUAGUCCACGCCGUAAACGAUGAGUGCUAGUUGUCGGCAUGCAUGCAUGUCGGUGACGCAGCUAACGCAUUAAGCACUCCGCCUGG
This 487-nucleotide ribosomal RNA is filed under the name Caulobacter sp. GNCB-2. Its description in RNAcentral is "bacterial SSU rRNA". It matches the Rfam family "Bacterial small subunit ribosomal RNA", at positions 371 to 876 of the family's 1533-position model. The record is from RNAcentral. Lineage: Bacteria; Pseudomonadati; Pseudomonadota; Alphaproteobacteria; Caulobacterales; Caulobacteraceae.